UAAUACGUAGGGGGCGAGCGUUGUCCGGAUUUAUUGGGCGUAAAGAGCUCGUAGGCGGCUUGGCAAGUCGGGUGUGAAACCUCCAGGCUCAACCUGGAGACGCCACUCGAUACUGCUAUGGCUAGAGUCCGGUAGGGGACCACGGAAUUCCUGGUGUAGCGGUGAAAUGCGCAGAUAUCAGGAGGAACACCGGUGGCGAAGGCGGUGGUCUGGGCCGGCACUGACGCUGAGGAGCGAAAGCGUGGGUAGCAAACAGGAUUAGAUACCCUGGUAGUCCACGCCGUAAACGUUGGGCACUAGGUGUGGGGCCUUAUCAACGGGUUCCGUGCCGUAGCUAACGCAUUAAGUGCCCCGCCUGGGGAGUACGGUCGCAAGGCU
This 378-nucleotide ribosomal RNA is filed under the name uncultured bacterium. Its description in RNAcentral is "bacterial SSU rRNA". It matches the Rfam family "Bacterial small subunit ribosomal RNA", at positions 521 to 895 of the family's 1533-position model. The record is from RNAcentral.